GGGGGGGGGGGGGGGGGGGGGGGGGGGGGGGGGGGGGGGGGGGCGGGCGGGGGGCGUGCUGCUCUGCCGUUAGCGUCGGACAGGGGGGUGCCACGUGGAUAGCCUACAGAUACGACUGGGUGACCUUCGGGGAACCGGCGCUGCUACCGCGUCUUAUAUCUAACCGCCUGAUUCUAUAGUGAAAGACGGUUUUGCGGUCACUUAUCGAUGCAUCCGCGCCGCCGUAGCUAGGUCGUAAGGUAACGGCUUACACACGCAACGAUACGGAGACGAUCUGAGAGGGGGAUCGGCCACACUGGAACUGAGACACGGUCCAGACUCCUACGGGAGGCAGCAGUAGGGAAUCUUCCGCAAAGGGCGAAAGCUUGACGGAGCAACGCCGCGUGAGUGAUGAAGGUCUUCGGAUCGUAAAACUCUGUUAUUAGGGAAGAACAAAUGUGUAAGUAACUAUGCACGUCUUGACGGUACCUAAUCAGAAAGCCACGGCUAACUACGUG
This 497-nucleotide ribosomal RNA is filed under the name uncultured bacterium. RNAcentral describes it as "partial 16S ribosomal RNA". It matches the Rfam family "Bacterial small subunit ribosomal RNA", at positions 27 to 507 of the family's 1533-position model. The record is from RNAcentral.